This 149-nucleotide ribosomal RNA is filed under the name uncultured Desulfocapsa sp. RNAcentral's name for it is "partial 16S ribosomal RNA". It matches the Rfam family "Bacterial small subunit ribosomal RNA", at positions 1236 to 1382 of the family's 1533-position model. The record is from RNAcentral. Lineage: Bacteria; Pseudomonadati; Thermodesulfobacteriota; Desulfobulbia; Desulfobulbales; Desulfocapsaceae.
GGUACAAAGGGCAGCGACACAGCGAUGUGAAGCCAAUCCCGAAAAGCCGGUCUCAGUCCGGAUUGGAGUCUGCAACUCGACUCCAUGAAGUUGGAAUCGCUAGUAAUCGCGGAUCAGCACGCCGCGGUCGAACUACGUUCCCGGGCCUU